AGAGUUUGAUCCUGGCUCAGGACGAACGCUGGCGGCGUGCCUAAUACAUGCAAGUCGAGCGGACAGAAGGGAGCUUGCUCCCGGAUGUUAGCGGCGGACGGGUGAGUAACACGUGGGUAACCUGCCUGUAAGACUGGGAUAACUCCGGGAAACCGGAGCUAAUACCGGAUAGUUCCUUGAACCGCAUGGUUCAAGGAUGAAAGACGGUUUCGGCUGUCACUUACAGAUGGACCCGCGGCGCAUUAGCUAGUUGGUGGGGUAAUGGCUCACCAAGGCGACGAUGCGUAGCCGACCUGAGAGGGUGAUCGGCCACACUGGGACUGAGACACGGCCCAGACUCCUACGGGAGGCAGCAGUAGGGAAUCUUCCGCAAUGGACGAAAGUCUGACGGAGCAACGCCGCGUGAGUGAUGAAGGUUUUCGGAUCGUAAAGCUCUGUUGUUAGGGAAGAACAAGUGCGAGAGUAACUGCUCGCACCUUGACGGUACCUAACCAGAAAGCCACGGCUAACUACGUGCCAGCAGCCGCGGUAAUACGUAGGUGGCAAGCGUUGUCCGGAAUUAUUGGGCGUAAAGGGCUCGCAGGCGGUUUCUUAAGUCUGAUGUGAAAGCCCCCGGCUCAACCGGGGAGGGUCAUUGGAAACUGGGAAACUUGAGUGCAGAAGAGGAGAGUGGAAUUCCACGUGUAGCGGUGAAAUGCGUAGAGAUGUGGAGGAACACCAGUGGCGAAGGCGACUCUCUGGUCUGUAACUGGCGCUGAGGAGCGAAAGCGUGGGGAGCGAACAGGAUUAGAUACCCUGGUAGUCCACGCCGUAAACGAUGAGUGCUAAGUGUUAGGGGUUUCCGCCCCUUAGUGCUGCAGCUAACGCAUUAAGCACUCCGCCUGGGGGAGUACGGUCGCAAGACUGAAACUCAAAGGAAUUGACGGGGGCCCGCACAAGCGGUGGAGCAUGUGGUUUAAUUCGAAGCAACGCGAAGAACCUUACCAGGUCUUGACAUCCUCUGACAACCCUAGAGAUAGGGCUUUCCCUUCGGGGACAGAGUGACAGGUGGUGCAUGGUUGUCGUCAGCUCGUGUCGUGAGAUGUUGGGUUAAGUCCCGCAACGAGCGCAACCCUUGAUCUUAGUUGCCAGCAUUCAGUUGGGCACUCUAAGGUGACUGCCGGUGACAAACCGGAGGAAGGUGGGGAUGACGUCAAAUCAUCAUGCCCCUUAUGACCUGGGCUACACACGUGCUACAAUGGACAGAACAAAGGGCUGCAAGACCGCAAGGUUUAGCCAAUCCCAUAAAUCUGUUCUCAGUUCGGAUCGCAGUCUGCAACUCGACUGCGUGAAGCUGGAAUCGCUAGUAAUCGCGGAUCAGCAUGCCGCGGUGAAUACGUUCCCGGGCCUUGUACACACCGCCCGUCACACCACGAGAGUUUGCAACACCCGAAGUCGGUGAGGUAACCUUUAUGGAGCCAGCCGCCGAAGGUGGGGCAGAUGAUUGGGGUGAAGUCGUAACAAGGUAACC
This 1510-nucleotide ribosomal RNA is filed under the name Bacillus pumilus. RNAcentral's name for it is "bacterial SSU rRNA". It matches the Rfam family "Bacterial small subunit ribosomal RNA". The record is from RNAcentral. Lineage: Bacteria; Bacillati; Bacillota; Bacilli; Caryophanales; Bacillaceae.